UUACUUGCUUUAACAGUAUG
RNAcentral lists this microRNA (20 nucleotides) under Ciona intestinalis (vase tunicate). RNAcentral describes it as "cin-miR-4013b-5p". The record is from miRBase by way of RNAcentral. Lineage: Eukaryota; Metazoa; Chordata; Ascidiacea; Phlebobranchia; Cionidae.